AGCGCAACCCUUAUUGCUAGUUACCAUCAUUGAGUUGGGGACGUCUAGCGAGACUGCCAGCGAUAAGCUGGAGGGAAGGUGGGGAUGACGUCAAAUCAUCAUGCCCCUUAUGACCUGGGCUACAAACGUGAUACAAUGGCUGGAACAAAGGGAGGCGAAGGGGUGACCUGGAGCGAAACCCAAAAAUACAGUCUCAGUUCGGAUUGAAGUCUGCAACUCGACUUCAUGAAGUCGGAAUCGCUAGUAAUCGCGGAUCAGAACGCCGCGGUGAAUACGUUCUCGGGGUUU
This 288-nucleotide ribosomal RNA is filed under the name uncultured Acholeplasma sp. RNAcentral's name for it is "partial 16S ribosomal RNA". It matches the Rfam family "Bacterial small subunit ribosomal RNA", at positions 1095 to 1382 of the family's 1533-position model. The record is from RNAcentral. Lineage: Bacteria; Bacillati; Mycoplasmatota; Mollicutes; Acholeplasmatales; Acholeplasmataceae.